This 567-nucleotide long non-coding RNA is filed under the name Bos indicus x Bos taurus (hybrid cattle). RNAcentral's name for it is "lncRNA (ENSBIXG00000011651.1)". Lineage: Eukaryota; Metazoa; Chordata; Mammalia; Artiodactyla; Bovidae. The record is from RNAcentral.
CAGCAGGGUCAGGCUUGGUUCCCUUGUUCUCAGGGGGUCAGACAUUCACAGCCAGGCCUAAGAGCAGCACUCAUUAAUAAAGUAAGAGCAGUGACUAUGGAGCAUUGCUUCAUUCCACAUAGAACACAGGUGCCUUGUGUGUCAUUUCCUCAUUGAACUCUUGCAACAAACCCAGGAGCCGGGUACUGUUCUAUCACUACUGUGCAGAUGAGACAAUCCUGAACAGUUAGGUUGUAUGUGGGAUCUGAACCACAGAGCCUGGCUCCAGAGCUCUUGCAUAUGAUCACUGGGGUCCACUGUCAUUAUCAAGGCCAGACGCCCUUGCAGUCUUUCCCGCAGGGCUGCUGAGAAGGACUCUACAAGCUUCGGGCCCUGCCUGCCUCCACUGUCCAGGGCAAUCAGUGUGGGAACGAGAAGAAGAGAUGGAGAUAGAGGAAGUCUGAGCAGAAAUGGAGCUUCCGGGGCCCUCCCCACCCUCCGGAGCAGGCUGGCAGCAUGACAGGUGACAAAUCAAAAGUCAUUCUCUGCUGAACAGGUGUGUAUCAGGGCUGGGGGGCAGGGCCGGGG